GUAACUUAUUUGUAUUGUUUUGCACUCAUAAAGCACAUGAUAACUUUUGAGCAAACAAUUUCUAAUGGUAAAAUAGACAAUUUCUUUUAGGUAUUUAAAUUCAUGUCAACUUCUCCUAUAUAAGUCAUGAAUCAUUUUCUAUGUGUAGAAAAAACAAGACUCGGAUGCUAAAAGUAAACUAAAAAUAUGGAACCAAUACACCUCUUUUGCAAGCUUAUAUUCCACUAUUGUUAAUUCUAGCACUAGUAUUGAACUGUGAAGUAGGUGAAACUGUGAUUUGUUAUGGACAAAAUGGUCAUGAAGGGACAUAUGUUUGCUCUAUCAUAUUUUAUUUGUUGCUCUAAGAUUAUAUGUCAAUUCAUAAAAUGCUUCUCAAUUGUUUUCAAAAUUUUUGAGCUGAAAGUAACUUUUUGCUUUUGCUUUAACAUAGGAAUGAUAUAUCUGAUUUGUGAAAAUUAAUAUGGGGCUAGGCCAAGCAGUAGCAUAUCAAGAGUACUAGAGAACUGUUAGUUAUAAAGACAGCCCUUCUGGAGCAAGGGAUCUCUAACUCUGGAAUCUCUUUGCUCAUUUUAAAUUUUGAACCUCAAAUAACUCUUUCGAUUAAGUGUGUUCGAAGUGGAAUAAAGUACAUGUGCCAGACUAUCCAAAACUUUUGUUUUUCAAUUUAGUUAGAGACACAUAAUUUGGUUAUUUAGUGUCUGACAUCAUCUAUACAGUUGAUAAAUAUCCAUACUUGUGUCCUUGUUCAUAACUGAAUCGUUCACACUCUGCAGUAUAUACGUGUGAUUCUGUGAGGGAUAGAAUUGCCUUCAAUUGACAGGUACUAGAUGGACUCUAUAGUUUUGCAGUAGGUAUUGGACGUCAUCUCAUUAACGCAUUACUAUUUCUUGCUUGACAGAUUAGCUUUGGUAAUAUUAUCAAAAAAGCAAGUCCCUCGGCCAUCCAUCCUUGAAACAAUGUCCUUUGAGGCACAAGACUUGAUUGACAGGUGCGCAAAUGAAUAAAAGGGUAGACGAAUCCAGUGAAGACCUUCUACAGUAUUGGUUGAUUGUUGCUAGGAAUCUUUUAUUUUUGAACAUUUUACAGACUUAUGUAUGCUAACUCUUGAAUUCUCAAAGUAUAUUAUAUAUUUUGCCUUUACGGAUA
Molecule: long non-coding RNA, 1146 nt
Organism: Nicotiana attenuata
Lineage: Eukaryota; Viridiplantae; Streptophyta; Magnoliopsida; Solanales; Solanaceae
Exons: 2
Source: RefSeq, a predicted model, not a curated record